GAAGGCAGCCACCUGGGAUAAUAUAGAUGCUCAUGCAGGCAAGAGUGCGGAGCAAUCAGGCAUAGAUAGCUUGGUAGUUCGUGCCCUAAAUGAUGUCAGGUAGCUGUUGGGGGCUUAGACCUUUAGUAGCUCAGAUAAAGAGCGAAGUGGAUCGCACGGGGAGUGCGGUCGCAAGAUUAAAACUCAAAGGAAUUGGCGGGGAGUCGCACACAGCGGGAGAUGAUGUGGAUUAAUUUGAGGCAACGCGAAAAACACUUACCUUCCCUUGACAUGUCUGGAAUCCCGAAGAGAUUAUGGGAGUGCUGGCACGAGAACCGGAACACAGGUGCUGCAUGGCUGUCGUCAGCUCGUGUCGUGAGAUGUUGGGUUAAGUCCCGCAACGAGCGCAACCCUUGUCAUUAGUUGGUCAGAAAGGUCAGUUUAAUGAGAUAACGGGUGACAAACCGGAGGAAGGUGGGGAGGAGGUCAAGUCGUCAUGUCCUUUAGGGGUAGGGCUUCACGGGUCAUCCAAUGGUCGGGACAGAGGGUCACCAGCCCGCGAGGGGGAGAUAAUACCAGAAUCCCGAUAGUAGUCUGGAUGGUAGUAUGCAAGUCGACAUACUUGAAGUCGGAAUGGUUAGUAAUCGAGGAUUAGCAUGUCGCGAGAGAAUACGUUGACACGGGUUUUGUACACACCGCACAGUCACACCCAUGCAGAGUCGGUUUCACCAGAAGUACUUAAACCUAACUACAAGGGGGGACGAUUCCCAGGGUGGGGUUCAUGACUGGGGUGAAGUCG
This 778-nucleotide ribosomal RNA is filed under the name uncultured bacterium. RNAcentral describes it as "bacterial SSU rRNA". It matches the Rfam family "Bacterial small subunit ribosomal RNA", at positions 717 to 1488 of the family's 1533-position model. The record is from RNAcentral.